This 253-nucleotide non-coding RNA is filed under the name uncultured bacterium. RNAcentral describes it as "partial 16S ribosomal RNA". It matches the Rfam family "Bacterial small subunit ribosomal RNA", at positions 524 to 776 of the family's 1533-position model. The record is from RNAcentral. RNAcentral also lists the same sequence under 1 other name.
UACGUAGGUGGCAAGCGUUAUCCGGAAUUAUUGGGCGUAAAGCGCGCGCAGGUGGUUUCUUAAGUCUGAUGUGAAAGCCCACGGCUCAACCGUGGAGGGUCAUUGGAAACUGGGAGACUUGAGUGCAGAAGAGGAAAGUGGAAUUCCAUGUGUAGCGGUGAAAUGCGUAGAGAUAUGGAGGAACACCAGUGGCGAAGGCGACUUUCUGGUCUGUAACUGACACUGAGGCGCGAAAGCGUGGGUAGCAAACAGG